UACGUAGGUGGCGAGCGUUGUCCGGAUUUACUGGGCGUAAAGAGCGCGCAGGCGGUCGUUCAAGUCGAGUGUGAAAGCCCCCGGCUCAACUGGGGAGGGUCACUCGAUACUGAUCGACUCGAAGGCAGGAGAAGGUAGUGGAAUUCCCGGUGUAGUGGUGAAAUGCGUAGAUAUCGGGAGGAACACCAGUGGCGAAGGCGACUACCUGGCCUGUUCUUGACGCUGAGGCGCGAAAGCUAGGGGAGCAAACGGG
RNAcentral lists this ribosomal RNA (253 nucleotides) under uncultured bacterium. RNAcentral describes it as "partial 16S ribosomal RNA". It matches the Rfam family "Bacterial small subunit ribosomal RNA", at positions 524 to 776 of the family's 1533-position model. The record is from RNAcentral.